RNAcentral lists this ribosomal RNA (1017 nucleotides) under Triticum aestivum (bread wheat). Its description in RNAcentral is "partial small subunit ribosomal RNA". Lineage: Eukaryota; Viridiplantae; Streptophyta; Magnoliopsida; Poales; Poaceae. The record is from RNAcentral.
AUGGCUCGCCCCCACCAACGGUCGUCUCGCUCCCAGGCUCCGGCCGCCGCCAACGGACCAAUCCACGGCCGCCGGAUCCCACAUCCGCAUCCCCACCCACAACCCCACCCGCCGGUUCCUUGCUCCGAGGGCCGUCGGCCAGAUAACGCUCACAGACGGCACGGUUCCGGUACGGCUGCUUCGUCCCGCACAUCUGCGGAUGUUCCUCUGCCGGGCCGCUCGCGGCCUGCCUCUGUCGAUUUGGAGCCGGAUUGUGAAGGAUGGAUCCAGGUCCGCAACCGUCGUCGCCAGCCCCGUUAUGUGGCGGCCCCCACCGUCCAUCACCCCGCUAGCUCCAAGCUUUGGAUUCCCCGGUGGCUUCUGGGCAGGUGCUUUAAGUGCCUGGAUGAGGGGCACCAGAAAGCUAAAUGCUCCGGCGAGAUUCGCUGUCAUAAGUGCUGGGUCUCGGGACAUCUCGCCCGUGACUGCUCUUUUUCCCCAAGCUCGUCGCUCCACCAACCCCCUCCUCAUUCCAGAUCCAGCCAAGGCCACUCCUCUAGGGCGCUGCUCACCACGGUGGGGGGAAGGCGGCCCGCCGUCUCCCCUGAGGCGCUGGUCCAGUCCCUGGCCAGGAUCUGCGGGAUCGAGAGGAGGCACGUCGGGGUGGAGGUCACUCACCCGGCAGAUUUCUUCAUCACCUUCGCCUCGAACGCGGACUGCGACAACGUCUUCUCGUUCUCCGGCAAGCUGCGCUGUGCGGGCGCGCCCGUCUCUUUUCAGAGGUGGCAUAGGUGCGCUCAGGCUUCCAGCGGCAAGCUGGAUUUCUUCUGCAAGCUCGGGAUCGAGGGGAUGCCGGCUAGCGCGUGGGAGUGCGGGGCAAUCAGUCAACUGAUCAACAAUCUGAAUGGUCAACUGGUGGAGAUCCUGCCGUCGGACGACCGCUGGCAGCUCGAGGUCACCUCUUGGAUGAAGAAUCCUUCGGGCAUCCCAAAGAUCUACGACAUGGAGAUUCCGGAGCCGGUCGGCCUGCCGGACUCG